RNAcentral lists this small RNA (514 nucleotides) under Pan troglodytes (chimpanzee). RNAcentral describes it as "processed transcript". The record is from RNAcentral. Lineage: Eukaryota; Metazoa; Chordata; Mammalia; Primates; Hominidae.
GCUCAGCAUUUGGGGACGCUCUCAGCUCUCGGCGCACGGCCCAGAGACGCUCUUCUGGCUCUUCCGUGACGCAUUACAACAGCCAUCCAGGCCGGUCCAGUUACGCUGCAUUCCUUCCUCCUUCCCAUUUCGGCGGACGUGCAUCCAGCUAGAGACUAGCAGAUUGAAUCGAUAUUCAUUAAGUUAGGAAUGGUUGAUGGUCCUAAGAGCCUCAGCAACCGAGAGGAGUCUUGUUAUUUAAAAAACAACGAUACUGGGCGUGGUCGUGGGCCUGUAGUCCCAGCUGCUCUAGCUAGUGGAUCUCUUGAGUCCAAGGCCAAUCUUCCUUCAAAAUGUCUACUGUUCACGAAAUCCUGUGCAAGCUCAGCUUGGAGGGUGAUGUGUGGAUGAGGUCACCAUUGUCAACAUUUUGACCAACCGCAGCAAUGCGCAGAGACAGGAUAUUGCCUUCGCCUACCAGAGAAGGACCAAAAAGUAUAUCGGGAGGCCCCAAGAUCUGCUUGCCAGGAGGCUG